Fukomys damarensis (Damara mole-rat) is the source of this 134-nucleotide small nucleolar RNA. The record is from Ensembl. NCBI's taxonomy places the organism in Eukaryota, Metazoa, Chordata, Mammalia, Rodentia, Bathyergidae.
CUUCUCUCAGCUCCGCUGGAUCACACAGGCCCAGUGUGUGCUUGGCGUAUUUUACGGGAGAGAGAGGAAGGCCCUCCUAAUGCACGACAGACCUGCCCCAAAGUGGCCUCUCUGUUCCUAGGAGUGCAACACAG